UGGGGAAUAUUGGACAAUGGGUGAGAGCCUGAUCCAGCCAUGCCGCGUGCAGGAAGAAGGCGUUAUGCGUUGUAAACUGCUUUUGCCAGGGGAUAAAAUGACCGUGCGCGGUUAAUUGAAGGUACCUGGUGAAUAAGCCACGGCUAACUACGUGCCAGCAGCCGCGGUAAUACGUAGGUGGCAAGCGUUAAUCGGAAUUACUGGGCGUAAAGCGUGCGCAGGCGGUUAUGCAAGACAGGUGUGAAAUCCCCGGGCUUAACCUGGGAACUGCACUUGUGACUGCAUAGCUGGAGUACGGCAGAGGGGGAUGGAAUUCCGCGUGUAGCAGUGAAAUGCGUAGAUAUGCGGAGGAACACCGAUGGCGAAGGCAGUCCCCUGGGCCUGUACUGACGCUCAUGCACGAAAGCGUGGGGAGCAAACAGGAUUAGAUACCCAAGUAGUCCCUGAGCGGGCUGGCAAGGCGCAU
Molecule: ribosomal RNA, 466 nt
Filed under: uncultured bacterium
Lineage: Bacteria
Description: bacterial SSU rRNA
Rfam family: Bacterial small subunit ribosomal RNA
Source: RNAcentral